RNAcentral lists this ribosomal RNA (460 nucleotides) under uncultured bacterium. Its description in RNAcentral is "partial 16S ribosomal RNA". It matches the Rfam family "Bacterial small subunit ribosomal RNA", at positions 338 to 795 of the family's 1533-position model. The record is from RNAcentral.
CCUACGGGAGGCAGCAGUGAGGAAUAUUGGUCAAUGGACGAGAGUCUGAACCAGCCAAGUAGCGUGAAGGAUGACUGCCCUACGGGUUGUAAACUUCUUUUAUAUGGGAAUAAAACAGGGCAUGCAUGCCUUUUUGUAUGUACUUUAUGAAUAAGGAUCGGCUAACUCCGUGCCAGCAGCCGCGGUAAUACGGAGGAUCCGAGCGUUAUCCGGAUUUAUUGGGUUUAAAGGGAGCGUAGAUGGGUUGUUAAGUCAGUUGUGAAAGUUUGCGGCUCAACCGUAAAAUUGCAGUUGAUACUGGCAGUCUUGAGUACAGUAGAGGUAGGCGGAAUUCGUGGUGUAGCGGUGAAAUGCUUAGAUAUCACGAAGAACUCCGAUUGCGAAGGCAGCUUACUAAACUGUAACUGACACUGAUGCUCGAAAGUGUGGGUAUCAAACAGGAUUAGAUACCCGAGUAGUC